Molecule: transfer RNA, 90 nt
Filed under: Armatimonadota bacterium
Lineage: Bacteria; Bacillati; Armatimonadota
Description: Armatimonadetes bacterium (groundwater metagenome) tRNA-Ser
Rfam family: tRNA
About the family: Transfer RNA (tRNA) molecules are approximately 80 nucleotides in length. Their secondary structure includes four short double-helical elements and three loops (D, anti-codon, and T loops).
Source: RNAcentral
GGUGGGGUGCGAGAGCGGACGAUUCGGCGCGCCUGGAGAGCGCGUAGGCGGGGAACCGUCUCGUGGGUUCAAAUCCCACCCCCACCGCCA